AUUUACUUGUAAUUUAGUUUUGCCAUAUUUCAAGUGUAAUACAAUAUCUGCACUAGAAACUAGAUAAAACUACUUGGUAAUAUUUCAUAUUUUUGCAGUGCUGCCUCAGGUCCAAACAGCACAACUCAGUAGUAAAGUGGUACUUAGCUGACCCAUCUGUCAGCGUUACGAUAUGAACUCCAGAUGCACAAAAACCAUCGAUUUCUUCUUUUUUUUAUCGCUUCUUUGCAACUGAUGAGUUAUUGAUUUCUCAGUGACAGUUGUAUUGGUACAAAUAGGGUGCUGGGGUUUUGUUUGUUUUUUGCAGCUGAUGAAUCAGUGACAGCCAGAAUGGUCAUAAAGCAUCAAGAUGUGAAAACAGUUUGAGUACCAAACUGCAUUAUGAUGUAUUCAGUCAUCUGAAAAAGUAUUUAAACCUCUUGAGCUUUUCUGCUGUUUGACGCAGGACAACCACAAACUUCAGUGUUUUAUUGGGAUUUAAUAUUUUAGACUAAUAAAGUAGAACAUCAUUGUGAAGUGGAAGGAAAAUUAUUUAAGUUUUAAUAAAAUCCAACUUGUCACAAUCAUUUGUAUUCAGCCACCUUUACAAAAAUGCCAGAAAGAGUUGCUUAAAGAAAGCCUUAAAGCAGCAGUAGUAACUUUUAUAAAAAGAAUAUCUUUUUUACAUAUUUGUUAAUACUGCCACCAUGUCAUGACAGUUUAAUAAAAUACAGAUAAUCUGUGAAAAGAUCUCCUCCUUGAGCUUCUUUUGCCUUUUAAAGAAAUGCACCGCUCCUGACCAAAGACAACCAAUCAGAGCCAGGAGGAGGGUCAUAUUGCUGUCAAUCAACCUCAUGUACUCACUGCUAAAUGUGCUAAUGGCAGAGAAACAGCUUACCGUUUACCCGCCAUCAUCGGUGGCCAUGCUAACUAGCCUAGCAUUCACGACAAGUUAUGUUGCGCUGCACUUAGUAGCUAAUACCAUAACAGUGCCUGAAAAGAAUGCUAAGGGUAGUUAGCAUAGCCACUGGUGACAGCGGAUAAAUGGUUUCUUGUAAUGGUAAGUUGUUUCUCCAUCAUUAGCACGUUUAGUAACAAGUACAUGAGAUUGAUUGACAGCAAUAAGUUCAUCUUCUGGGCACUGAUGGAUUGUUUUUGGUCAGGAGUCGUGCCGUUCUUCAAAAGGCGAUAGCUCAGGGAGGAGCUGAUUAGGGCUGUUGUAAAAGUAUAAUUUAGUAAUCGAGGUACUCGAAUCAGCUGGAAGAAACUGAUUGAUCCUUUUACAGAUUAUCUGUCUCGUAUUAAACUGUCACAACAUGGUGACAGCUUUAACAGAUAUGUAAAAAAUAAUUAUUUUUGUAAGUUUCAUACUGCUGCUUUAACUACUUCCUGCCAAAAUCUACAGACAAGAGUGGCAGUACACUGAUGGAGCCCAUCACCAUCUAAAGGGUGACUGGUGGUGGUGGCAGCAUCAUGCUGUCAACCUUUUAUUUCUGGAAAAAAAAAUUGUACCUACAGAAAACUUACACCUGGAUUAAGGUCCUAAAAUUCCCUAAUUAAAGUUCAGACUUGAAUUAAAUUGAGAAUCAUUGUGAAAACUUGAAAACUGAUGUUCCUCACAUUUAAUUCUGAUUUCAUUUAUUUUCCUUACACUUCAUUUUCUACAUUAUAAAAUUCAAACA
Xiphophorus hellerii (green swordtail) is the source of this 1661-nucleotide long non-coding RNA. RefSeq lists it as uncharacterized. The transcript is spliced from 3 exons. NCBI's taxonomy places the organism in Eukaryota, Metazoa, Chordata, Actinopteri, Cyprinodontiformes, Poeciliidae. The record is from RefSeq and is a predicted model, not a curated record.